UACGAAGGGGGCUAGCGUUGCUCGGAAUCACUGGGCGUAAAGGGUGCGUAGGCGGGACUUUAAGUCAGGGGUGAAAUCCUGGAGCUCAACUCCAGAACUGCCUUUGAUACUGAAGAUCUUGAGUUCGGGAGAGGUGAGUGGAACUGCGAGUGUAGAGGUGAAAUUCGUAGAUAUUCGCAAGAACACCAGUGGCGAAGGCGGCUCACUGGCCCGGAACUGACGCUGAGGUGCGAAAGCGUGGGGAGCAAACAGG
RNAcentral lists this ribosomal RNA (253 nucleotides) under uncultured bacterium. RNAcentral's name for it is "partial 16S ribosomal RNA". It matches the Rfam family "Bacterial small subunit ribosomal RNA", at positions 524 to 776 of the family's 1533-position model. The record is from RNAcentral.